CCCCAUAAGAAACUGAAAAAAAAACUAAGUUGAAAAUAUAAAAAUCUAUAUGUACAACUCAUAAAGCCUAUACAAUAAAAUAUAUGUAAAAAUAAUAUAAUAUCUAAAAAUUAUAUAUAACUAAUUAUCUGAUGUGGGGCAAAAUCACAUAAAAAAGAUGUAAUCUAAUCAACCUGAGUCUUCAAUGACAUUAUCUCUAUCUGAUAGGUGUACCUCAGCACCUCUAUCUGUAUGUCAUGUCUCUGAUUCAUCUUCUAUAAAUGUAUCUCAUAUCUUUGUGUCAUCUCCUAUACAUGUGUCUCUUACAUCUGUAUCAUCUCCUAUACAUGUGUUUCUAGCUUAUGGGCUUCUACAGUGCUACUGUUCUAUCUACACUCCUGAGUAUAUUUGCUCAUUACAGAUAACUGAGUGGGGGUGACUCCAACUCCAUAACCCUUCACCUUGGCCAUAAUACUCUGGUCCUAUUAGCUCAAUGAACACCUGAUCUCAACAUGACUGUACUCUGUAGAUGAUGAUAACUUACCGAUACACUCUGCAAUAAGCAUUAUUGCCCUAUCCUAUAUAUUAAAGAACAGACCUAUAUAUUAAUGAUAAAAAAAGAUAAUAUAAAUCAUUUAACAAAUAGAUCAAUAUAUACCAUCAGAUCUCUAGACUCCUCAUCUACAAAGCUGCCAUUCGAUAGGUAUGAGUCAUCCUAUAAAACUCAACUUCAUAAGGCUCCCUCCCAUGCUUCUUCAUCUACACAAUAAAAAUAUAUGUUAUAUGAUAUAUGGUCCAUUAUAUAUGAUAUGUGAUACAAGA
RNAcentral lists this long non-coding RNA (801 nucleotides) under Elaeis guineensis (African oil palm). Its description in RNAcentral is "long non-coding RNA (EGUI_LNC063747)". The record is from RNAcentral. Lineage: Eukaryota; Viridiplantae; Streptophyta; Magnoliopsida; Arecales; Arecaceae.